GCCAGCACCAACUUGUGAGCCCAUGUUUGGAAGUACAGUUAAACCUUCAGAUGGCUACCGCCCAAGGUGAUGUAUGACUACCACUACUUGAGAGACACGAUGCUGAACGCUUCCAAAUUCCAGACCAAGGGAACUAUGAAAAAUAAGUGUUGUUUCAAGCCACUAAAUUUUGAAGCAAUAUGUUACAUAGUAUUAGGUAACUAAAAUAAUUAUAAGCCACAAUCACAAAUCAAUAUUAUCUAUAAUUAUAUGUACAUACUGUAUGUAUCUUCAUCAAAUACAAAUAAAAUUAGGUAUUUGAUUUUCAUCUUAAUUUUUAAAUAACUUCUAUUUUGUGCUUCAUAAUGUAUAUAAAACAGCACAAAAAUUCAUAUAUCUAUAUAAGCAUAGGUAUCAAAAAUUUUUUUUAACUAAUAUGGAUAAAGGAUAAAACAAUUCUAGAAACAAAUUACUCUGCUCAGAUAAACAGGAUUUCUUGGAUUCCCACAAGUGAAGAUCCAGCAUUGUCUCUGAGGCAGUGAUCUGAAUUCUGACCUCACUGCUUCCUAACUGUAUGGCCUUGGGCAAAUUAAUUAACUUCUCUAAGCUUCAGUUUCCCUCAUGUGAAGAUGAGAAUAAAAAGAGUAUCCUAAUAAACAGGGCUUUUGGGAGGAUUAAAUGAGAUAAUCAAUGUAAAAUCCUUAGUACAGUGUGUGGCAUACAGCAAGGUUCAAUUAUAAUGAAGAAAAUAAUAAUUGCUUUGGAACAUUUGUAGUUCUCUGUGUUGAGUUUGUAGUUGACCUGUGGGCAUGAAGUAGAGGGUGGCUGCCAUGAGAUUUUGACCCCCACUUGGGAAAUUAGAGAAAGAAAAGUGGAAGAACAAAUGCUCACGAUUUGCUUCUCCCUGAAAGAAAAGAAGCAAACUGUUGUCUUCUGGAUUAAUCUAGUUGUCACAAUAAAAAAAAAAGAGAGGACAUGGGGAUACGUGGUCUAUUCAAGAAAAACAAUGAAUGUGUCCAGUGCCUCUCAGAGGCAGUAUUACUGCAAAGUCUUUUAAGAGAGUGAAAUAUCCCAAUAGUCGUCAGACAUGUAAUCUACGAAUAAGGGGGUCACUGCCCCAAAAUAAGGAUGAGCAUAAGUUACUAGGGCAAAGAGUAAACAGAAAAUAAAUAUCCUCUGAAAGCUCAUAGGAACAAGGAAGGGAAGUUUCCCCAGACAUUCUGAAUGUAAAAUAACAUGUGGACAAUGUAAAAACACCAAGAAGGCAAAACAAAGAGUACAAAAUUCAGACACUGAAAAAUCAAAUGGGGUGCUUCAGUAACACAGUCAAUAAAUGCAAGGCAUGGUCUGGAGAUUCUUCACUGACAAUCACUAGCACUGGAAUAGCAAAGUCACAGUGAUUCAGGAUUAGCAAUAGUCAUGGGACGUGAAAUACAAAAGUAAAAAAGGAUUGACUAGGCAAAUACCAUAAGCCAAAGACUAAGGAGUUGUUAUUAUAUGGUCAGGUAUAUGUGAAUGUCAGGUGGCCAGCAGGAAAGGUGCAGAAAGUGGUUUCUAAACAGACGGGAAAUUCUCAGUGUGCAGAUAAUCUGUCAAACCUAGAGGGAAGAGGCAAAUGAUGAAUUCUGAACUAAGGAGCUUGAGAUAAGAUUCCAACUAAGAAGAAGUCACAUAAAACAUGAAAUUUGGCCGGGCACUUUAGUUCACGCCUGUAAUCCUAGCAGUUUGGGAGCCCGAGGCAGGCAGAUGACCUGCGGUCAGGAGUUCAAGACCAGCCUGGCCAACUGGCGAAACCCCGUAUCUACUAAAAAUACAAAAAUUAGCCAGGUGUGGUGGUGGAUGCCUGCAAUCCCAGCUAUUCAGGAGGCUGAGGCAGGAGAAUCGCUUGAACCCAGGCAGCAGAGGUUGAGUCAAGAUCACACCAGUGUACUCUAGCCUGCGCAACAGAGUGAGACUCCGCCUCAAAAAAAUAAAUAAAUAGAUAAAUAAACAUAAGCUUUGCUAAGCUACAAUCCUAUGCCAGGGUUGUGGGGGAUGUAGAGAUGACCUUGUCUUUGCCAUCAAGAAGAUGCAGUCUCCCUGGACAGCAAAGGUACCUGUAACCAUGGCAUGUUCCUAAGACAGAAGUUAGAUGCCCUUUGAAGAGUUGCUUCUACUAUAGACCUCAAUGAAAAUUCAUUAUAUACUGCUGAAACAAGUCAUGAGGAAUCAAAUACUAAAUACAUGCAUAUGCUUUAAAAGUAUAAUAAACAUAUGCUUUUAAAAAUAAGGUCAUCUUACUUGGAUGUUUUGGUUCAACAGCAACUCUCACAAUAGGAGUGGCUUCGAAGUUGAGUGGUAUAAAUGGUGGGCAGGAUGGCAGGCUACACAGUGUUGCAGAUUUCAGCACAAAAUCUUGAAGGCCUCCUAUUCCUGUAGGAAGAAAAGAUCCAUACGGUCAAUAAGGGAUGAUAAAUUCUGAAUUUAUGUCAGAAAAACAGCAGCAUCAACCCAGUAUAUGUAUCACAGAGCCAAAUGCUUCCAAAAUGUUGCAAGAAAUGAGGCGGACCUGCACUGUUUUUUUUUUUGUACACCUGGAUACCAUUUGAUUGCUGUCAAAAUACAGAAAUUCUGCCUUUUGUUUCCCAC
This is a long non-coding RNA of Homo sapiens (human), 2607 nucleotides long. NCBI's taxonomy places the organism in Eukaryota, Metazoa, Chordata, Mammalia, Primates, Hominidae. The record is from Ensembl.